RNAcentral lists this ribosomal RNA (499 nucleotides) under Ceriporiopsis balaenae. Its description in RNAcentral is "partial small subunit ribosomal RNA". It matches the Rfam family "Bacterial small subunit ribosomal RNA", at positions 428 to 949 of the family's 1533-position model. Lineage: Eukaryota; Fungi; Basidiomycota; Agaricomycetes; Polyporales; Meruliaceae. The record is from RNAcentral.
AUGUGAUGUCGUAAGGGAAAAUAAUGAUGUUACCUUACUAAUAGUGUCGUCCAAAACUGGUGCCAGAAGUCUCGGUAAGGCCAGAGACACGAAUGUUAAUCGUCUUAAAAAGGCGUAAAGGGUUAGUAGACAGUUUUUUAAGUAUUAAAUUAAAAAUAGCACACUAUAUUAAUUUAAUAUGAAUUAAAACUAGAAUCUUAUAGAGGAUAUUUACGAAAUUAUGCUUAGUUUAGGGCUAAAAUCCAGAAACAUUAAGUAGAGUUCCAAUGGCGUAAGCAUUUAUCCAAUAAAGAUUGACGUUGAGGAACGAAGGUGAGGAUAGGAAAUAGGAUUAGAGACCCAGGUACCCCUCUCAGUCAACGAUGAAUGGUAGUUUGAUAGUCAAACAGACUAGUGGCAAAGUUAACGCGUUAACCAUUCCGCCUUGUGAGUACGGUUGCAAAGCUGAAAACAAAUAAAUUAGUCGGUCUCGGAGCAAACGAAGUGGGAAGCAUGUUAA